GACGAACGCUGGCGGCGUGCUUAACACAUGCAAGUCGAACGCUGAAGCUCAGCUUUUGUUGGGUGGAUGAGUGGCGAACGGGUGAGUAACACGUGAGUAACCUGCCUCCUUCUUUGGGAUAACGCCCGGAAACGGGUGCUAAUACUGGAUAUUACCUGGUCUUCGCAUGGGGGUUGGUGGAAAGGGUUUUUCUGGUGGGGGAUGGGCUCGCGGCCUAUCAGAUUGUUGGUGGGGUGAUGGCCUACCAAGGCUUUGACGGGUAGCCGGCCUGAGAGGGUGACCGGUCACGUUGGGACUGAUAUACGGCCCAGACUCCUACGGGAGUCAGCAGUGGGGAAUAUUGCACAAUGGGCGCAAGCCUGAUGCAGCGACGCCGCGUGAGGGAUGGAGGCCUUGAGGUUGUGAACCUCUUUCGCACAUGGUCAAGCCGCAACAAUGGUUGUGGUGAGGGUAGUGGGUAAAGAAGCGCCGGCUAACUACGUG
RNAcentral lists this ribosomal RNA (483 nucleotides) under uncultured bacterium. RNAcentral describes it as "partial 16S ribosomal RNA". It matches the Rfam family "Bacterial small subunit ribosomal RNA", at positions 28 to 507 of the family's 1533-position model. The record is from RNAcentral.